UAUUUAUUGUACUUUCUAUUUAUAGAUGAUUCUUAAUUUAUUCUAUUAAUAAUUCUUUUAUUAUAUUAAUAUUCUUAAUUCUUAAUUAUUUUACAUUUAAAAAUCUAUAUAUACGUAUUUUUUUGUACAUUAUUUUCUUUUGGUCUAUAGUAAAUAGCUACUCUUUUAAAAUUUAAUAAAUAACAGCUAGUAAUUUAAAAUAAAUCACUUAAUAUAAUAUUUAUUAAAUAUACCAAUAUGACAUAUUAUAUUAAUAAUAUUAAUUAUAUUUAGUUUAUAUGUUUUAUGAUGAUAAAGCAAUGAUAUAAUAAAACUUCGAGAAUAAUUAUCCAUUAUUAUUUUAAGUUUUCAUAAAUAAUAAUUAUUUAUUUAAAUCUUAUUAAAAAUAUUAGCAUGAUUCUAAGUAUUUAAUUUAUUAUCCGUGCAAUCUAGUUACUGAAUACAAUUCAAAAGUACAACAUGAAGAAACCUUCUUAUUUAGGAAAGCUUAACAUUCGUAAAUAGUUUCUGUAAGGUUGUACGAUUCAUCCUUACAUUUCUCGUAAUUACUUUCAGAAAGCCAAAGCUUCUUCGUCCAAGUAACAGUGGAGGUGCACACCUGCAUAUGGAAACUGCAGCGACUCUUCAAUUGGAUGAGCAACAGCCAUCCUCACAGCACACUUUUACACAACGGAGGUUUGGUACCCGUCCGAUAAAGCAGCAGUGACAACCUUCAAUUCUCAAAUCAUUAGCACAUUGCAAUCGAUCGGUAAUGGUGUCUGCAGACGAGGGCCUGCUGUUGCAUUUGCACAUAUGGCAAUGGACAUCACUACUAAAAACCAUGUCAAAGCAAUGAAUAACUUUUCUUUCCUCACCAUUUCUUUCCCUUUGUAUUCUGCGUCUGCAAACUUAACGAUGUAAACAAGGGAUGACCAUCCUCUCUAUCUAAGGCAUCGUCUUUUGUAGUGUGUCCUUUUGGCAGUAGAGUGGAUGCAAUACGUUCUUUCUUUGUAAUCCAUUCCUACACGUCAGAAAGGUAGGGGACAUGGGUGUUUAUCUUGUGCGUCACUUGCCAACUUGCUGUUUGUACUGGCCUCAUAUGUUGAUUUCUACGCGGCAGGACCAAAUGUAGCUGCCGCUGGUAUUGCCGACUUUCCUGACCCUAUUUUCUGAACUCUUUCAUCUUCUUAUCCAGAGUGCAAUCACCACUAGAUUCUCUUUCAGAAUAUGAAUUCUUUUAUUUGAGUUAAUUUGGAGUCUUCAGUUUGGC
Molecule: long non-coding RNA, 1249 nt
Filed under: Ricinus communis (castor bean)
Lineage: Eukaryota; Viridiplantae; Streptophyta; Magnoliopsida; Malpighiales; Euphorbiaceae
Description: long non-coding RNA (RCOM_LNC001842)
Source: RNAcentral